CCCCGCCCCACACACACGUAGCCAUAACCUGCUUUCAGGUCACAGGGAGCAAUAAGGUCUCUCCUGAGCCUCCUCCAGACUGAGCAAUCCCAGUUCCCUCAGCCACUCCCCAUAAGACUUGUGCUCCACACCCUUCACAGCUUUGUUGCCCUUCUCUGAAAGCGCUUCAGGGCCUCAACGCCUUCCUUGUAGCGAGGGGCCCAAAACUGAAGUCAAGGUGCGGCCUCACCAGUGCUGAAUACAGAGCAUAUUGCUGCUGUUACAGUAUCAUGCAGCUUUCUGCAUGAUUUUGCAGCACGAGUUGAACAAGCUUAUAUUCCCCUGUAUGUAACAAGCACACGUGGGAUUUAAUGUCUUGGCAUAAGGCAGUCUGACUGUAUAUGGAAGGCUUAGGAUAUCUGCAGCACCUUUGAGGUUGGCUCUCUCAAUCAAGAAACAAGUCGACAGAACAAAUGGUGGCAUUUACUUAGCCAUAUUCCCACGUACACAGUUUGUAGCCCAAUUAUGUUUUCAAUAAUAGAAGGAUACAUUUAAGUGCUCAUUUUAAUUAUGGAUCUUCUAAAUCUGAGAUUGUAACCUCCUCUCGAAAUAAAACUGGUAUUGGCAGGGCAUUUUAUUACAUAAGGUUA
Meleagris gallopavo (turkey) is the source of this 629-nucleotide non-coding RNA. Lineage: Eukaryota; Metazoa; Chordata; Aves; Galliformes; Phasianidae. The record is from RefSeq and is a predicted model, not a curated record.